Molecule: long non-coding RNA, 204 nt
Filed under: Salvia miltiorrhiza (redroot sage)
Lineage: Eukaryota; Viridiplantae; Streptophyta; Magnoliopsida; Lamiales; Lamiaceae
Description: long non-coding RNA (SMIL_LNC011452)
Source: RNAcentral
AAGGCCCAUUUCUUCUCAAAUUAGUCGGCCCAUUCGAAAUAAAAGAAAAGGCCCAAACAAAUGAAAUAAUAUCAAGCCCAAACUCUCUCUCUCUCUUUCAAAACUGUCGGUCUCUCUCUCUAGCUCAAGCAUCAGUCGAGCUCUCUCUUUCUCCCUCAAACAUCAGUCGAGAAUUCCCCUCUCGACAUCAGUCGCGAUUUCAUG